CGGAGGGUCCGAGCGUUAUCCGGAAUCAUUGGGUUUAAAGGGUGCGCAGGCGGUAAAGUAAGUCAGUGGUGAAAUCCUGCAGCUCAACUGCAGAACUGCCAUUGAUACUGCUAUACUUGAAUAUAGUCGAAGUGGGCGGAAUGUGACAUGUAGCGGUGAAAUGCUUAGAUAUGUCACAGAACACCGAUAGCGAAGGCAGCUCACUAGACUAAAAUUGACGCUCAUGCACGAAAGCGUGGGGAGCGAACAGGAUUAGAUACCCUGGUAGUCCACGCUGUAAACUAUGAUUACUCGAUAUUGGCGAUAUACGGUCAGUGUCUAAGCGAAAGUGAUAAGUAAUCCACCUGGGGAGUACGGUCGCAAGAUUG
This 368-nucleotide ribosomal RNA is filed under the name uncultured organism. RNAcentral describes it as "bacterial SSU rRNA". It matches the Rfam family "Bacterial small subunit ribosomal RNA", at positions 526 to 896 of the family's 1533-position model. The record is from RNAcentral.